This 931-nucleotide unclassified non-coding RNA is filed under the name Hevea brasiliensis (rubber tree). Lineage: Eukaryota; Viridiplantae; Streptophyta; Magnoliopsida; Malpighiales; Euphorbiaceae. The record is from RNAcentral.
CCACACAUUUUAGGGAGAGGGAGCUCUCACACAUUGCCCUCUAUUAUCUAUCUCUACAGUCCUUGGAUGAGUGUAGUGAGUGCUUUCUUUAAGCCCCACUGCGAAAGCAAAAACGCUCAAAGCUUUGAUCUUUUGAAGCCAGGAAAACUACAACUCUACUGUCUACGAAUUUGAAGAUGAAAACAAGCAGGACUGCUGGUGGAUUUAACAUGCUUGGCGUUGACUAAUGGGUUUUCCCAAUUUGAUCUAUUUAAAAAAUCUGCUUUCUUUAGAUGGCCUCAAAACCCAGUGCUGGGACUUCCCCAGAAAAGCAGAGAAAAGCCAUUGGUAAUCAGACACCAGAAGGAAAGUUCCGCAGGCCCUCACCUUUACAGAUUACAAAGACAAGCAAAUCAGAGCCAGUCACCCCAAGAAAACCACCUCAAAGUGCACAAGUUGCAUCUAAACACGUUUCUGUAGUGACAACUGAGGACAACAAAUCACUGAUUUCUCAAAAAUCAGACAAUGUAAAUUCUUUAGUCGAUAAGGUAUCUUCUAGUUUGGCCUUUGUUGAUCCAAAACAAGGGCUAACUUGUGCGGAUCCUGAAGGGAGUGAUGCUAGGGACUCACCAGAAAGUACUACUGAUAAAAAAAGUAAAAAUUUACAGAAUGAAAUUGGCGCUAGUUCUGCUGAGGUUAGUGAUGGGACCAGCAGCAUCGCAAAGACUAGUGGAAGUGCCAAAAUCAGCGAAAAAGCUGAUUUUGUUGAGAGUGGGAAAAGCAGUGCGAACAGAGGGAGCACAAGCAGUGAUGUCAGUGAUGAGAGUACUUGUAGCAGUUUAAGUAGCAGUGUCAACAAACCUCACAAAGCCAAUGAUAUGCGUUGGGAAGCUAUACAGGCUGUACGUGCAAAAGAUGGUGUAUUGGGUGUGAACCAUUUCAGAUUGCUGAA